Equus caballus (horse) is the source of this 653-nucleotide long non-coding RNA. RefSeq lists it as uncharacterized. The record is from RefSeq and is a predicted model, not a curated record. Lineage: Eukaryota; Metazoa; Chordata; Mammalia; Perissodactyla; Equidae.
ACUCAGAUAGACGGUGCUCUAAAUAAUUAUCAUUGUAUGUCACUCAUUUGUUCUUUCCAGCGAUUGCCUUGUUCAUCCUUAUCCUUGGUGCUGGGCUAGACGCAAGAUGUGCGGAAACUCCUAAGACAGGCCUGCCCUCAAGGCACUCGCAGACCGCAGGGAGACAGGAAUAACAAGCUCUGUGAUAAGCCCUGGCCAAGCCCCACCCAGGAGAUAUGCCAUGGAAACGGGAUGCCUGGGUGGCAGGGAUCUUUGAAUGGUUGACCCCAUAUUACGUCUACCUGCCUGAUGAAGGAAAGCCAAAAGCAAGCUGGAGAGGCCCACAUAGAAAGAAGCUGUGGGCCACCAUCCGCCAUGGCCAGCAAGGAACUGAGAGCCUCAGUCCAGCAGCUGGGGAAGAACUGAGUCCUGCCAAUAACCACAGAGUGAACUUGGCAACAGAUCUUGACCCAGCUGAGCCUUCAGGCUGGAGCACUUAAUGGGCGGUGCAAAUGCCUUGAUGCUUUGUCGUCCUGCCAUGGUGACAAUGGAAGAGCCACCAGACUGGAGGAGCUGAGGACACUGAGCUAUCAUAUGGGGACAGCUGCCCUGGAGAGCCGCCCAGACUCACAGCUGACUUUGUGUGAGUGAUAAAUAAAUCCUGGUCAUAUUAA